UUGAGGUGGAUUCACCAUCCGGCAGGCUUUCGCCAUUGCUUCUGCUGCACUCAUCAUCAUGCUGGCUCUGGACAUUGCUCUCACUGCAUGCAUCACCAUGUGGACUGUCAGUGUUAUAAGGAGCAUUCUCACUGAUAUUGGCGGUAAGUGGUGAUCUUGGAGACUGUUGAUCUGAUACUGACUCUGGGAAUCUCAUCCACAGGUCCGAAUUCAGUACUCCUAGAAAAGGUAAUUACUAUUGCUUCCUCCAC
Molecule: ribosomal RNA, 251 nt
Filed under: Triticum aestivum (bread wheat)
Lineage: Eukaryota; Viridiplantae; Streptophyta; Magnoliopsida; Poales; Poaceae
Description: partial small subunit ribosomal RNA
Source: RNAcentral